AGCCGAGCGGUAGGUUUCCUUCGGGAGACUGAGAGCGGCGCACGGGUGCGGAACACGUGUGCAACCUGCCUUUAUCAGGGGGAUAGCCUUUCGAAAGGAAGAUUAAUACCCCAUAAUAUUUUGAGUGGCAUCACUUAAAAUUGAAAACUCCGGUGGAUAAAGAUGGGCACGCGCAAGAUUAGAUAGUUGGUGAGGUAACUGGCUCACCAAGUCUACGAUCUUUAGGGGGCCUGAGAGGGUGAUCCCCCACACUGGUACUGAGACACGGACCAGACUCCUACGGGAGGCAGCAGUGAGGAAUAUUGGACAAUGGGUGAGAGCCUGAUCCAGCCAUCCCGCGUGAAGGACGACGGCCCUAUGGGGUUGUAAACUUCUUAUGUAUAGGGAUAAACCUUUCCACGUGUGGAAAGCUGAAGGUCCUAUACCAAUAAGCACCGGUAC
Molecule: ribosomal RNA, 441 nt
Filed under: Chryseobacterium sp. 185-3.2-CV-H05(s)-05
Lineage: Bacteria; Pseudomonadati; Bacteroidota; Flavobacteriia; Flavobacteriales; Weeksellaceae
Description: bacterial SSU rRNA
Rfam family: Bacterial small subunit ribosomal RNA
Source: RNAcentral